UGCAUGUCUAAGUACAUACCUUUGCACGGUGAAACCGCGAAUGGCUCAUUAAAUCAGUUAUGGUUCCUUAGAUCGUUCUUUUUACAUGGAUAACUGUGGUAAUUCUAGAGCUAAUACAUGCAAAAAGCUCCGACCGUAUGGGAAGAGCGCUUUUAUUAGACCAAAACCAAUGGGGUCGCAAGAUCCCUUUGUCUGGUGACUCUGGAUAACUUUGUGCUGAUCGCAUGGCCUUGAGCCGGCGACGUAUCUUUCAAGUGUCUGCCCUAUCAACUUUCGAUGGUAAGCGAUUUGCCUACCAUGGUUGUAACGGGUAACGGGGAAUCAGGGUUCGAUUCCGGAGAGGGAGCAUGAGAAAUGGCUACCACAUCUACGGAAGGCAGCAGGCGCGCAAAUUACCCACUCCUAGAACGGGGAGGUAGUGACGAAAAAUAACAAUACCGGACUCAAUGAGGCUCGGUAAUUGAAAUGAGUACAGUUUAAAACCCUUAACGAGGAUCUAUUGGAGGGCAAGUCUGGUGCCAGCAGCCGC
This 529-nucleotide ribosomal RNA is filed under the name uncultured eukaryote. Its description in RNAcentral is "SSU rRNA". It matches the Rfam family "Eukaryotic small subunit ribosomal RNA", at positions 52 to 577 of the family's 1831-position model. The record is from RNAcentral.